UACUGACGCUCAUGCACGAAAGCGUGGGUAUCGAACAGGAUUAGAUACCCUGGUAGUCCACGCGGUAAACGAUGAUAACUAGUUAUCCGGCCAGAUUGAUGGUUGGGUGACCGAGCGAAAGCGUUAAGUUAUCCACCUGGGGAGUACGCCGGCAACGGUGAAACUCAAAGGAAUUGACGGGGGCCCGCACAAGCGGAGGAACAUGUGGUUUAAUUCGAUGAUACGCGAGGAACCUUACCCGGGCUCAAACGCAAGGCGCUACACCCUGAAAGGGGUGGUUCUUCGGACGUCUUGCGAGGUGCUGCAUGGUUGUCGUCAGCUCGUGCCGUGAGGUGUCGGCUUAAGUGCCAUAACGAGCGCAACCCCCAUCUUCAGUUGCCAUCGGUUAAAGCCGGGCACUCUGGAGAGACUGCCGGCGCAAGCUGUGAGGAAGGCGGGGAUGACGUCAAAUCAGCACGGCCCUUACGUCCGGGGCGACACACGUGUUACAAUGGCGGGGUCACAGCGGGAAGCCAGGCGGCGACGCCGAGCCGAUCCCGAAAACCCGUCUCGGUUCGGAUCGGAGUCUGCAACCCGACUCCGUGAAGCUGGAUUCGCUAGU
RNAcentral lists this ribosomal RNA (601 nucleotides) under uncultured bacterium. Its description in RNAcentral is "bacterial SSU rRNA". It matches the Rfam family "Bacterial small subunit ribosomal RNA", at positions 738 to 1339 of the family's 1533-position model. The record is from RNAcentral.